This 301-nucleotide ribosomal RNA is filed under the name uncultured bacterium. RNAcentral's name for it is "partial 16S ribosomal RNA". It matches the Rfam family "Bacterial small subunit ribosomal RNA", at positions 509 to 809 of the family's 1533-position model. The record is from RNAcentral.
CAGUAGCCACGGUAAUACGAAGGGUGCAAGCGUUAAUCGGAAUUACUGGGCGUAAAGCGUGCGUAGGCGGUUUGUUAAGUCUGUUGUGAAAUCCCCGGGCUCAACCUGGGAAUGGCAAUGGAUACUGGCAAGCUAGAGUGUGGUAGAGGAUAGUGGAAUUUCCGGUGUAGCAGUGAAAUGCGUAGAGAUCGGAAGGAACAUCUGUGGCGAAGGCGGCCAUCUGGGACAACACUGACGCUGAGGCACGAAAGCGUGGGGAGCAAACAGGAUUAGAUACCCCCGUAGUCCCUGUCUCUUAUAA